RNAcentral lists this ribosomal RNA (585 nucleotides) under uncultured bacterium. RNAcentral describes it as "partial 16S ribosomal RNA". It matches the Rfam family "Bacterial small subunit ribosomal RNA", at positions 355 to 1375 of the family's 1533-position model. The record is from RNAcentral.
UGGGGAAUUUUGGACAAUGGGCGAAAGCCUGAUCCAGCAAUGCCGCGUGUGUGAAGAAGGCCUUCGGGUUGUAAAGCACUUUUGUCCGGAAAGAAAUCCUUGGCUCUAAUACAGUCGGGGGAUGACGGUACCGGAAGAAUAAGCACCGGCUAACUACGUGCCAGCAGCCGCGGUAAUACGUAGGGUGCAAGCGUUAAUCGGAAUUACUGGGCGUAAAGCGUGCGCAGGCGGUUUGCUAAGACCGAUGUGAAAUCCCCGGGCUCAACCUGGGAACUGCAUUGGUGACUGGCAGGCUAGAGUAUGGCAGAGGGGGGUAGAAUUCCACGUGUAGCAGUGAAAUGCGUAGAGAUGUGGAGGAAUACCGAUGGCGAAGGCAGCCCCCUGGGCCAAUACUGACGUUCAUGCACGAAAGCGUGGGGAGCAAACAGGAUUAGAUACCCUGGUAGUCCACGCCCUAAACGAUGUCAACUAGUUGUUGGGGAUUCAUUUCCUUAGUAACGUAGCUAACGCGUGAAGUUGACCGCCUGGGGAGUACGGUCGCAAGAUUAAAACUCAAAUGAAUUGACGGGGUCAUAGCUGUUUCCU